This 628-nucleotide ribosomal RNA is filed under the name uncultured fungus. Its description in RNAcentral is "LSU rRNA". It matches the Rfam family "Eukaryotic large subunit ribosomal RNA", at positions 23 to 664 of the family's 3401-position model. The record is from RNAcentral. Lineage: Eukaryota; Fungi.
ACCCGCUGAACUUAAGCAUAUCAAUAAGCGGAGGAAAAGAAACCAACAGGGAUUGCCUCAGUAACGGCGAGUGAAGCGGCAACAGCUCAAAUUUGAAAUCUGGCCCUCCCGGGUCCGAGUUGUAAUUUGUAGAGGACGUUUCGGGUCCCGCCCCGGUCUAAAUUUCUUGGAACAGAAUGUCAGAGAGGGUGAGAGCCCCGUCUUGGACCGGUCGGUCGGGCCCGUGUGAAACUCCCUCGACGAGUCGAGUUGUUUGGGAAUGCAGCUCAAAAUGGGUGGUAAAUUUCAUCUAAAGCUAAAUAUUGGCCAGAGACCGAUAGCGCACAAGUAGAGUGAUCGAAAGAUGAAAAGUACUUUGAAAAGAGAGUUAAACAGUAUGUGAAAUUGUUGAAAGGGAAGCGCUCACAACCAGACUUGAGCCGGGCGGUUCCCCCUUCGUUCUCGUUGGGUCAUUCCGCCCGGUCCGGGCCAACAUCGGUUCGGGUGGCCGGUCAAAGGUCCCGGGAAUGUAUCUACCCCUCGGGGUCGACUUAUAGCCCGGGGCGUCAUGCGGCCCACCCGGACCGAGGCACGCGCUUCGGCACGGAUGUUGGCGUAAUGGUUGUCAGCGGCCCGUCUUGAAACACGG